CAUAUUCAAUAAGCGGAGGA
RNAcentral lists this ribosomal RNA (20 nucleotides) under Thanatephorus cucumeris. RNAcentral's name for it is "partial 25S ribosomal RNA". The record is from RNAcentral. Lineage: Eukaryota; Fungi; Basidiomycota; Agaricomycetes; Cantharellales; Ceratobasidiaceae.